RNAcentral lists this long non-coding RNA (211 nucleotides) under Sorghum bicolor (sorghum). RNAcentral describes it as "long non-coding RNA (SBIC_LNC010313)". The record is from RNAcentral. Lineage: Eukaryota; Viridiplantae; Streptophyta; Magnoliopsida; Poales; Poaceae.
UGGUUUAAAUUUGGGAUCAUUUGGUCCAAUAGUUUAAAAGUUAUGGCUCUUCCAAGUUAGGUUCCAGAAAUAGGUGCUUUCUGUUUUUCUGGGACAGAACCUGGAACUUUGUUUAAUUGUCAUGUUUAACUUAUGAAUCUUACUGUGAUGUUUAAAGAUGAAAUAUGGACAAUUUCGUAAGCUUUCCAGAAUGUCAUCAUUUAUGUUUGUU